AUUGAACGCUGGCGGCAGGCCUAACACAUGCAAGUCGAACGGUAACAGGAAACAGCUUGCUGUUUCGCUGACGAGUGGCGGACGGGUGAGUAAUGUCUGGGAAACUGCCUGAUGGAGGGGGAUAACUACUGGAAACGGUAGCUAAUACCGCAUAACGUCGCAAGACCAAAGAGGGGGACCUUCGGGCCUCUUGCCAUCGGAUGUGCCCAGAUGGGAUUAGCUAGUAGGUGGGGUAACGGCUCACCUAGGCGACGAUCCCUAGCUGGUCUGAGAGGAUGACCAGCCACACUGGAUCUGAGACACGGUCCAGACUCCUACGGGAGGCAGCAGUGGGGAAUAUUGCACAAUGGGCGCAAGCCUGAUGCAGCCAUGCCGCGUGUAUGAAGAAGGCCUUCGGGUUGUAAAGUACUUUCAGCGGGGAUGAAGGGAGUAAAGUUAAUACCUUUGCUCAUUGACGUUACCCGCAGAAGAAGCACCGGCUAACUCCGUG
This 490-nucleotide ribosomal RNA is filed under the name uncultured bacterium. Its description in RNAcentral is "partial 16S ribosomal RNA". It matches the Rfam family "Bacterial small subunit ribosomal RNA", at positions 30 to 507 of the family's 1533-position model. The record is from RNAcentral.